Molecule: ribosomal RNA, 282 nt
Filed under: Triticum aestivum (bread wheat)
Lineage: Eukaryota; Viridiplantae; Streptophyta; Magnoliopsida; Poales; Poaceae
Description: partial small subunit ribosomal RNA
Source: RNAcentral
UUGCGGGAUACGUAGAAUUGGGUCCUCAAGGGAGAUGCCAAUACAGCUUACUUUCAGGUCAUCGCCAAUGGCCGUCGUCGUCGGAACUCCAUCCCGCUUCUGUGGGAUGGAGAGACCCUCCUGCAGCAGCCUGAGGACAUCCGUGCCCAUGUAGACAGCUUCUACAGAGACCUAUUCUCUGCCUCCCCUCGGGGCUGGCCCUCGAUCACGACAUCUGGCCGCCCCACCGUCGUGUCUCGCCGGCGGAUAAUGUGGCCCUCACGGCCCGUUCUCCGAGGCUGA